UACAGAGGGUGCGAGCGUUGUCCGGAUUUAUUGGGUUUAAAGGGUGCGUAGGCGGCCUUUUAAGUCAGCGGUGAAAGUUUAGGGCUCAACCCUGAAAUUGCCGUUGAUACUGUAAGGCUUGAGUGUCGAUGGGGUACUUGGAAUUGAUGGUGUAGCGGUGAAAUGCAUAGAUACCAUCAGGAACACCGAUAGCGUAGGCAUUGUACUUACCGGAAACUGACGCUGAGGCACGAAAGCGUGGGUAGCAAACAGG
Molecule: unclassified non-coding RNA, 253 nt
Filed under: uncultured Cyclobacteriaceae bacterium
Lineage: Bacteria; Pseudomonadati; Bacteroidota; Cytophagia; Cytophagales; Cyclobacteriaceae
Description: contains 16S-23S intergenic spacer region
Rfam family: Bacterial small subunit ribosomal RNA
Source: RNAcentral